Molecule: ribosomal RNA, 301 nt
Filed under: uncultured bacterium
Lineage: Bacteria
Description: partial 16S ribosomal RNA
Rfam family: Bacterial small subunit ribosomal RNA
Source: RNAcentral
CAGUCGCCACGGUAAUACGUAGGGUGCAAGCGUUAAUCGGAAUUACUGGGCGUAAAGCGUGCGCAGGCGGUUUGUUAAGACAGAUGUGAAAUCCCCGGGCUCAACCUGGGAACUGCAUUUGUGACUGGCAAGCUAGAGUGUGGCAGAGGGGGGUGGAAUUCCGCGUGUAGCAGUGAAAUGCGUAGAGAUCGGGAGGAACAUCAGUGGCGAAGGCGGCCAUCUGGGACAACACUGACGCUGAGGCACGAAAGCGUGGGGAGCAAACAGGAUUAGAUACCCGCGUAGUCCCUGUCUCUUAUAC